UCUACUUUGGCAGAUAAGUGCAAUGAAUUUAGAUUUCAUAGAUGUAAAUGAAUUUUACAGGUAGGAC
This 67-nucleotide transfer RNA is filed under the name Zelandoperla fenestrata. RNAcentral's name for it is "tRNA-Leu". Lineage: Eukaryota; Metazoa; Arthropoda; Insecta; Plecoptera; Gripopterygidae. The record is from RNAcentral.